UCAGGCCUAACACAUGCAAGUCGAACGCUAUUUAUAGAGUGGCGCACGGGUGAGUAACGCGUGGGAACCUGCCUUUCUCUGUGGGAUAACGGUUGGAAACGACCGCUAAUACCGCAUACGCCCUACGGGGGAAAGGUCCGCCGGAGAAAGAGGGGCCCGCGUCUGAUUAGCUAGUUGGUGGGGUAAUGGCCUACCAAGGCUACGAUCAGUAGCUGGUCUGAGAGGAUGAUCAGCCACACUGGGACUGAGACACGGCCCAAACUCCUACGGGAGGCAGCAGUGGGGAAUCUUGCACAAUGGAGGAAACUCUGAUGCAGCGAUGCCGCGUGAGUGAAGAAGGCCCUUGGGUUGUAAAGCUCUUUCGUCGGGGAAGAAAAUGACUGUACCCGAAUAAGAAGGUCCGGCUAACUUCGUGCCAGCAGCCGCGGUAAUACGAAGGGACCUAGCGUAGUUCGGAAUUACUGGGCUUAAAGAGUUCGUAGGUGGUUGAAAAAGUUGGUGGUGAAAUCCCAGAGCUUAACUCUGGAACUGCCAUCAAAACUUUUCAGCUAGAGUAUGAUAGAGGAAAGCAGAAUUUCUAGUGUAGAGGUGAAAUUCGUAGAUAUUAGAAAGAAUACCAAUUGCGAAGGCAGCUUUCUGGAUCAUUACUGACACUGAGGAACGAAAGCAUGGGUAGCGAAGAGGAUUAGAUACCCUCGUA
This 700-nucleotide ribosomal RNA is filed under the name uncultured bacterium. RNAcentral's name for it is "bacterial SSU rRNA". It matches the Rfam family "Bacterial small subunit ribosomal RNA", at positions 42 to 792 of the family's 1533-position model. The record is from RNAcentral.